This 448-nucleotide long non-coding RNA is filed under the name Glycine max (soybean). RNAcentral describes it as "long non-coding RNA (GMAX_LNC004570)". Lineage: Eukaryota; Viridiplantae; Streptophyta; Magnoliopsida; Fabales; Fabaceae. The record is from RNAcentral.
AGGGAAGGAAACCCCAAUAGGUAGAAUCUAUUCCUAAACCCCCCAAAAGAAAGGAAGACAAUUAACAAAACAGAGAAUCACAAAGGAACGGAACGGAAUUAAAACAAAGGAGAAAAAUAGCUAAAAACACGCAACUAACAAGAAGAACAAAACAAGCAAAUCCAAAUGCAAAUCAUGGAGAAUAAAGAAAUUAAAACUAUGAAUAAGCUUGUGAAUGAACAAAACAUGAAUAAGGAAGAAGAGAGAAAAAAACGUGAAAUAGAACUCGCAAAGAUGAAAAACUUUGGAUGAAAAUGAGAAAGAAAAAGAUUGGGUGUGGGAAUGUGUGCCAAUUGUGGUGAGUUUGGAAAAGAAAGUGGGAAUGGUGAAAGGUUUGAAGAAAAUAGAAAGAGAAAGAGUGAGAACGGAGAUGCAAUUGGAAGAAUUAAAAGCUGGAAAUUUAUUUUAA